This 254-nucleotide ribosomal RNA is filed under the name uncultured bacterium. Its description in RNAcentral is "partial 16S ribosomal RNA". It matches the Rfam family "Bacterial small subunit ribosomal RNA", at positions 524 to 776 of the family's 1533-position model. The record is from RNAcentral.
UACGGAGGGGGGCUAGCGUUGUUCGGAAUUACUGGGCGUAAAGCGCACGUAGGCGGCUUUGUAAGUUAGAGGUGAAAGCCCGGGGCUCAACCCCGGAAUUGCCUUUAAGACUGCAUCGCUUGAACGUCGGAGAGGUGAGUGGAAUUCCGAGUGUAGAGGUGAAAUUCGUAGAUAUUCGGAAGAACACCAGUGGCGAAGGCGGCUCACUGGACGACUGUUGACGCUGAGGUGCGAAAGCGUGGGGAGCAAACAGG